Molecule: small nucleolar RNA, 155 nt
Filed under: Carlito syrichta (Philippine tarsier)
Lineage: Eukaryota; Metazoa; Chordata; Mammalia; Primates; Tarsiidae
Description: Small nucleolar RNA SNORA13 (ENSTSYG00000020513.2)
Source: RNAcentral
UGCCUGUGACAGAGAUCAAGAGAAAGGACGUGAAAGAGAGUGUGUGUGAGAAAGUGAGUUCAUGUGUCCAACAAAGGCAUGAAUUAAAUGCUUUGCAGCCAUUUCCUGCCCUUUGAUUUGAUGUCUUUGGUGCAGGAGCCGAAUAAGUCGCAGUU